Molecule: ribosomal RNA, 394 nt
Filed under: uncultured bacterium
Lineage: Bacteria
Description: partial 16S ribosomal RNA
Rfam family: Bacterial small subunit ribosomal RNA
Source: RNAcentral
AUACGUAGGGAGCGAGCGUUGUCCGGAAUUACUGGGCGUAAAGGGCGCGUAGGCGGCGCUUCAAGUCGUCUGUCAAAUGGGAGGGCUUAACCCUUUUUCGCAGACGAAACUGGAGAGCUUGAGAAGCAGAGAGGCAAACAGAAUUCCUGGUGUAGCGGUGAAAUGCGUAGAUAUCAGGAAGAAUACCAGUGGCGAAGGCGGUUUGCUGGCUGCAUACUGACGCUGAAGCGCGAAAGCCAGGGGAGCAAACGAGAUUAGAUACCCCGGUAGUCCUGGCAGUAAACGAUGUAUGCUGGGUGUGAGACUAGCGAUAGUUUCGUGCCGAAGUUAACGCGAUAAGCAUACCGCCUGGGGAGUACGGUCGCGAGAUUGAAACUCAAAUGAAUUGACGGGG